UGGGGAAUUUUGGACAAUGGGCGAAAGCCUGAUCCAGCAAUGCCGCGUGUGUGAAGAAGGCCUUCGGGUUGUAAAGCACUUUUGUCCGGAAAGAAAUCCUUGGCUCUAAUACAGUCGGGGGAUGACGGUACCGGAAGAAUAAGCACCGGCUAACUACGUGCCAGCAGCCGCGGUAAUACGUAGGGUGCAAGCGUUAAUCGGAAUUACUGGGCGUAAAGCGUGCGCAGGCGGUUUGCUAAGACCGAUGUGAAAUCCCCGGGCUCAACCUGGGAACUGCAUUGGUGACUGGCAGGCUAGAGUAUGGCAGAGGGGGGUAGAAUUCCACGUGUAGCAGUGAAAUGCGUAGAGAUGUGGAGGAAUACCGAUGGCGAAGGCAGCCCCCUGGGCCAAUACUGACGCUCAUGCACGAAAGCGUGGGGAGCAAACAGGAUUAGAUACCCUGGUAGUCCACGCCCUAAACGAUGUCAACUAGUUGUUGGGGAUUCAUUUCCUUAGUAACGUAGCUAACGCGUGAAGUUGACCGCCUGGGGAGUACGGUCGCAAAGAUUAAAACUUAAAGGAAUUGACGGGGUCAUAGCUGUUUCCU
Molecule: ribosomal RNA, 586 nt
Filed under: uncultured bacterium
Lineage: Bacteria
Description: partial 16S ribosomal RNA
Rfam family: Bacterial small subunit ribosomal RNA
Source: RNAcentral